This 407-nucleotide ribosomal RNA is filed under the name uncultured bacterium. RNAcentral describes it as "partial 16S ribosomal RNA". It matches the Rfam family "Bacterial small subunit ribosomal RNA", at positions 28 to 526 of the family's 1533-position model. The record is from RNAcentral.
GUUGAACGCUGGCGGCAGGCCUAACACAUGCAAGUCGAGCGCAGCGGCGGACGGGUGAGGAAUGCCUAGGAAUCUGCCGGGUAGUGGGGGAUAGAGUCCGGAAACGGGCGCUAAUACCGCAUACUAUCAGAUGAGCCUAGGUCGGAUUAGCUAGUUGGUGGGGUAAAGGCCUACCAAGGCGUCGAUCCGUAACUGGGCUGCGCGGAUGCUCAGUCACACGGGAACGGGGACACGGUCCAGACUCUUACGCGAGGCAGCAUUGGGGAAUAUUGGACAAUGGGCGAAAGCCUGACCGAGCCAUGCCGCGUGUGUGAAGAAGGUCUUCGGAUUGUAAAGCCCUUUAAGUUGGGAGGCGUUACCAACAGAAUAAGCACCGGCUAACUCCGUGCCAGCAGCUGCGGUAAUAC